Long non-coding RNA from Hemicordylus capensis (graceful crag lizard), 275 nucleotides. RefSeq lists it as uncharacterized. The record is from RefSeq and is a predicted model, not a curated record. The transcript has 3 exons. NCBI's taxonomy places the organism in Eukaryota, Metazoa, Chordata, Lepidosauria, Squamata, Cordylidae.
CACACUCUCACCCACUCACUCUCCAGCUCCUAUAUGCCCGUUCCAUCACAUAGUCUAUGAACAGUAACCAAUAACAAUCCAAGCCAGUGAUGCACAGAGAUGCUUUUAAUUUCAUGCAAUAUACACCAGAUUGCCAGAGAGGGGCCCCUUCUGUGCAGAGAAAGGUGCAAACUUUUUUCGUUUGUCUGGAGGAAAUGGUGCCAUAUUUUAAAGCUGUACAAAAAGGGAUGUUUUGUCUUCAGUUCAGAGAAAUCCAGUGCUCCAGUUCUCCUUGU